AUUGAACGCUGGCGGCAUGCCUUACACAUGCAAGUCGAACGGUAACAGGUCUUCGGAUGCUGACGAGUGGCGAACGGGUGAGUAAUGCAUCGGAACGUGCCCAGUAGUGGGGGAUAGCCCGGCGAAAGCCGGAUUAAUACCGCAUACGACCUGAGGGUGAAAGGGGGGGAUCCAAGACCUCUCGCUAUUGGAGCGGCCGAUGUCAGAUUAGCUAGUUGGUGGGGUAAAGGCCUACCAAGGCAACGAUCUGUAGUUGGUCUGAGAGGACGACCAGCCACACUGGGACUGAGACACGGCCCAGACUCCUACGGGAGGCAGCAGUGGGGAAUUUUGGACAAUGGGCGCAAGCCUGAUCCAGCAAUGCCGCGUGCAGGAAGAAGGCCUUCGGGUUGUAAACUGCUUUUGUCAGGGAAGAAAUCUUCUGGGUUAAUACCCCGGGAGGAUGACGGUACCUGAAGAAUAAGCACCGGCUAACUACGUGCCAGCAGCCGCGGUAAUACGUAGGGUGCGAGCGUUAAUCGGAAUUACUGGGCGUAAAGCGUGCGCAGGCGGCUUUGCAAGACAGAGGUGAAAUCCCCGGGCUCAACCUGGGAACUGCCUUUGUGACUGCAAGGCUAGAGUACGGCAGAGGGGGAUGGAAUUCCGCGUGUAGCAGUGAAAUGCGUAGAUAUGCGGAGGAACACCAAUGGCGAAGGCAAUCCCCUGGGCCUGUACUGACGCUCAUGCACGAAAGCGUGGGGAGCAAACAGGAUUAGAUACCCUGGUAGUCCACGCCCUAAACGAUGUCAACUGGUUGUUGGACGGCUUGCUGUUCAGUAACGAAGCUAACGCGUGAAGUUGACCGCCUGGGGAGUACGGCCGCAAGGUUGAAACUCAAAGGAAUUGACGGGAACCCGCACAAGCGGUGGAUGAUGUGGUUUAAUUCGAUGCAACGCGAAAAACCUUACCUACCCUUGACAUGCCAGGAAUCUUGCAGAGAUGUGAGAGUGCUCGAAAGAGAACCUGGACACAGGUGCUGCAUGGCCGUCGUCAGCUCGUGUCGUGAGAUGUUGGGUUAAGUCCCGCAACGAGCGCAACCCUUGUCAUCAGUUGCUACGAAAGGGCACUCUGAUGAGACUGCCGGUGACAAACCGGAGGAAGGUGGGGAUGACGUCAGGUCCUCAUGGCCCUUAUGGGUAGGGCUACACACGUCAUACAAUGGCCGGUACAGAGGGCUGCCAACCCGCGAGGGGGAGCCAAUCCCAGAAAACCGGUCGUAGUCCGGAUCGCAGUCUGCAACUCGACUGCGUGAAGUCGGAAUCGCUAGUAAUCGCGGAUCAGCUUGCCGCGGUGAAUACGUUCCCGGGUCUUGUACACACCGCCCGUCACACCAUGGGAGCGGGUUCUGCCAGAAGUAGUUAGCCUAACCGCAAGGAGGGCGAUUACCACGGCAGGGUUCGUGACUGGGGUG
RNAcentral lists this ribosomal RNA (1450 nucleotides) under uncultured bacterium. RNAcentral's name for it is "bacterial SSU rRNA". It matches the Rfam family "Bacterial small subunit ribosomal RNA". The record is from RNAcentral.